RNAcentral lists this long non-coding RNA (500 nucleotides) under Junco hyemalis (dark-eyed junco). RNAcentral describes it as "lncRNA (ENSJHYG00000006173.1)". Lineage: Eukaryota; Metazoa; Chordata; Aves; Passeriformes; Passerellidae. The record is from RNAcentral.
GGACAAGAAAAGCAUGCUCACAAAGUUGUGUAGGCUCACUCUGCGCACGGUGUGAUAGUUGCAAUAUCAAUUAUGCUCCCCAGCUUCCAAGAAACAGCUGACCACAAGGAUGAAACUUGUGUGGGAGGAAGAGGGAGCUUGUUGGCAGCUGGCCUCAGAUGCAGGAGUCGCUGCCACAGGAGGACAGAGAGAAGAACAUGAGUGCCUCAGAGACAAAAACUCCAUGCUGCAGCAGGUCCAGAUAACCAGGAGUUGGACUGGCACAGGACACAGCCACAAUGUCAGCUAAAUGGGAUUGCUGCCUGCAUAGAUUUGGCCUUUAGAAAUGUUUGAAUGAACACAAGAAAAUGGGAAUUAAAUUAUAUAAACCAUUUAAUAUCUGUUAUAUUUUUUGACUUUUAAAAAGUAAAAAAUGUGUUCUUCUACCAUUCACAGGUCAUCUCAUUUUGCAUGAAGAUUUAUCAAAUAAAAAACUAUACCAAACAAUAGAUCUCUGAAAA